Molecule: ribosomal RNA, 340 nt
Filed under: uncultured bacterium
Lineage: Bacteria
Description: bacterial SSU rRNA
Rfam family: Bacterial small subunit ribosomal RNA
Source: RNAcentral
AUGCAAGUCGAACGAAUAAACUUUCCUUCGGGAAAGAUAUAAAGUGGCGCACGGGUGAGUAACACGUAAGUAAUCUACCUUCGGAUGGGGAAUAACAGUCGGAAACGACUGCUAAUACCGCAUAAUGCAGCGGCACCUAAUGGUGACAGUUGUUAAAGUAUUUAUACGUCUGGAGAGGAGCUUGCGGCAGAUUAGCUAGUUGGUAAGGUAAUGGCUUACCAAGGCUACGAUCUGUAGCCGACCUGAGAGGGUGGUCGGUCACACUGACACUGAAUAACGGGUCAGACUCCUACGGGGAGGCAGCAGUCGGGGAAUUUUUGGGCAAUGGGGCGAAAAGCCU